Perca fluviatilis (European perch) is the source of this 620-nucleotide long non-coding RNA. RefSeq lists it as uncharacterized. The record is from RefSeq and is a predicted model, not a curated record. The transcript is spliced from 6 exons. Lineage: Eukaryota; Metazoa; Chordata; Actinopteri; Perciformes; Percidae.
GGGAUUUCUUUUAAAAACACCCCCUCCAGCUCAGCUCCAUUAUUUCUUAUUUGUGCACUUGUUCCUCCUGAGGCAUCCUCACAGUGUACAAGCUAUUCCCUCUCUUGCCUUUUUGCCUGGAAAUAAAGUUGUCUCUUGCUUUCGGUUGGCACUGCCGCUGCAUAAUUACAACACCGGGAAGUGUCGGUGAGCCAGAGGCUAGCAGGAGAGCUCCUGUUGUCCCAAGGAAAUGGUGGAAUACAUAACACUGAAAACAAUAAGCAGAAGUGUAUAUAUGAACAAGGUAACCUUUCUGUUUGUGGGCUUGUGAGUCAUCAAAGUGCUUUCAAACUAAUAAUAAAGCUCCAGGGAGAGUUUCUCCCCCAGCCUUACAUGGCCUUCCUGCCUGCUUCCUUAGUCCAGGCAUGACCGUCACCCCUAAAAAACACAGUGCUCAGCCUGGUUCCUCCUCUUACAACGACACAAGUCCCAGGUGUUGCACUUGGCAUUGAAUAGGUAAGAUCAACCAUCCAAGUCUGAUGGUAUGUGUCCGUUUUGUUGUUUUUUUGUGUGCAUGUUUGUGCGCCGACUUUUACCUGUUUAGCUUUAUCUUAUCACAUAUGAACUAGAUCUCAUAUGGG